Molecule: non-coding RNA, 4627 nt
Organism: Paramisgurnus dabryanus
Lineage: Eukaryota; Metazoa; Chordata; Actinopteri; Cypriniformes; Cobitidae
Source: RefSeq, a predicted model, not a curated record
AGCUCACGUAACACACGCUGUUUCUGCAUUUCUGAUAUUAAUCUGGAGUACCUAUGGAGUAGUAUGACAUCCUUUAUAUCUCUGAAGAGUCUUUAGUUUAAUCAGAUUUAUAAAAGAAAGAUUAGCUUCACCGAAUCUUUCCGAUAACGUACGAAAAAAUGAAGGAGGAGUUAUAACACGGGAGGAGCGAGUACGAGUCAUGCAACACUAUACAACACUGUUUUAACUUAUGAUUCACUACAUGUUCGUGUCAUUUAUAUAAUAUACACGCGCCAAUUUCCAACAUAAGACUGAAGUCUUACUUACCACGUGUAACUCGUCAUCAAACACACACGCAAAACUCCGCUGCUAAUCCGGAUAAUAAACUAUAUCCAUUGUUUCCAUAAGGCUGGAUGUCUUCUCCUUACAUCCAAAAACACACUUCUUGUUGUGCCAUUGUUGACUUUUGAAAUUAAACAAAGCUGAGUGGCGUGAUAAGCUGUUAGCAAGCUCUAGCGUCUCCCGCUGACUGACGGCUGGGCGGGGUUUUCCGGGGGAAGUUUUCCGGCGGAAGCCCAUAUAAAGAAGUGAUACGUAUCGAAAACCCCUGAAACGUCAGUUAGAACCGUAAUCGAAAAAAAUUAGCCGAAACUUGUACGAACCCUGGCGAAGUGCAUUCGGCACAGAAAUACUCUGAAACACGCCCAACUGCAUUUUUGACACUUUGCCUACGUUUAGCAUGAGGAAACAACUCUAUAACUGUGUUAAUAAGUCAGAAUGCUUGAAAUACCAUUAAACCCCCCCUUUAAACACGGUGCACGUGCGUCCCAAACUGUGGGCGGAAAACAGGACGAUUCGAUUCUUUACUGAGAACCGUUACACUCCUAGUUUGAAAGUAAAACUGACUUUAUUGAAGAUGUACUCCACCUUCAGAAAUAAAAAUUAUAGAUUUUUUUACUUAGCCCCAUCUAAGUCAUCUAAGGUGUUUAUGCCUUUUUUUCAUCAGCUGAACACAAUCAGAGUUCUAAUUAUUAAUAUACUGGCUCCUUUUUGCUUUGUAAUAAGUUUGAUCAUGGACCAAACAUUUACGAUCUCAAAAAAGUCCAUCCAUCCAUCCAUCAUUAAAGUAAUCCAUAUACAACCCAGUGGUUUAAUAAAUGUAUUUAGAAGCAAAGUAUAAGGUUUAUAAGAAAAAGUUUAGUUCUGAGCACUUUUAGUGAUUAGUUACAUAUACGUUAGCCUGGUUAGCCAGACCUACAUCAAGAUGUAAGGUCUGGCAACUCUUCACACAAACGGCUCAAUGCAAGGGGCGGGAUAUAAGGUUGUCCCUCAAAAUGCCUCUGCACGCAAUAGGAUAGCGCUAUGACGGAUCAGAGCAACGAAGAAGGUGACGUAGUUACCGUAACCAGUUGGCAAAACUCCAAACACAUCUUUCUUGCUUAAAAAUGACUUCAGUAGGGUUUAUUUGCUCUUCUCUCAAAGAAAAACAUAAGUCUAAGUCCUCCAGAGUCGCGGCCAAAGCCGCUUCAAAAGAAAGCUGUUCGCCAGCAGCAGCAGCCAUUCUCUGUUUUCAAGUAGGAACCGUUGCAGCUCUGUCGUCAUCAUGUUAAGCCCGCCCCACAGACGCUACACACGAUGUGAUUGGCCUGACCAAAUUUUGGUUUUUGGACCGGUUAAGUGUAUUGUGAGUGCCUAGACUAAACCCUGGCAGCAAAUAUAUUUUGCGGCCGCUAGGGUGCGUCUAGAUUUCUAGGCUACAUAUACGUAAUUUUAUAAAACAAAAUCAACUAUAGAUUUAAAUAUAGUGGUAUGUAAAAUCUUAUUGGUUCUUGUGUUUCAUCAUGAGUUGUGACAAAACUGACAGUCGUUAGACACUAAAUGUAUUAUUGUCUGUUUAUUUAAGGUAUGUUUUGUAACUAAAAGGUCAAAAUAUGAAUUGUUUUUUUAUUAACCCACUGGAUACAUUAAAUUUUGAUUACUUUAAUAAUGGAUGGAUGCAGUUUUUGGAGCUUCUAAACAUUUGGUCUCUGAUCAGAGCCAUUACAAAGCAAGGAACAGCCAGGGUAUUAUUUAAUAUAGGUCUGGUUGUAUUCAACUGAACAAAGCAAGACAAACAUCUUGGAUGACAAGGGGGUGAGUUAAAAAAAAAUUUAAUUCUGAAGGUGGCAUUUUACAGUUUAGGUUCUAUUGUGUCGCCUGAUGCGAUAAUUUAUUAAAUUAACAAUCUUUACAUUAAUACCACAGGAAAGGGAAUAUUUUGAACAGGAAUAUCAUAUAAUGAAUUGUUUAUUCUGAAGCAUAUGUUACUAACUAGAUCAUUUUGGGUACGACUAAAUAAGAUCAAGACUUAAUUUUUACCAAUUAUUAUAGGACAGCAGAAACACUGAAGUUUGAAUGACAUAAUACUGCACAUUGUGGACCUUUGUAUUUAGAAACUAUUUAGACCCCCAACACAGUUAAAUUUUGUUAGGUCUCAAUCUGAUACUACAAUAAUCCCCCCCCUCUUAUUAUUAAUCUGCACUUAGUACCCCAUUAUGAGAAACUGAAAACAGGAUUUGGAAAUGUCUAAAUGUAUUUAAAAGAAGAAAAAAAAUGAAAUUAUUCAGACACUUAACUUGGUAGUUAGUUGAAGCACUUUUUGCAGCAAGUACAGCCUCGAGUCUUUUUGGGAAUGACGCAACAAGCUUUGCACAUCUGGAUUGAAGGAAUUUCUGCCAUUCUUCCUUUUAAAUCCUUUCAAGCUCAGUGAGUUUGGAUGUGAACUGUCGGCUGACAGCCGUUUUCAGGUCUCUCCAGAGAUGCUUGGUGAGGUUGAAGUCAGGGCUUUGGUUGGUCCACUUCUCACAUAGUUGUCCCUAAACCACUACUGUGUUGUCCUUGUUCUUUGCUUAGGGUCAUUUUCAUAAGGUUUUAGUGAGGAUAUCUCAGUGGACUCGAGUCAAGGUGUAGAAAAUCUCGGCAUUGAUCAACACAAAUAAAUGGCACCUAAACAAAAUUUCUAGUGUUAUCGCAAAGGGUCUGAAUACUUAAGUAAAUGUGAAAUUAUUUUUUUCCUUUAAAACAUUUUACAGAAAUGUCUUAAAUUCAGUUUUCACUUUGUCAUUAUGGGGUACUAGAUGUUGAUUAAUGAGAAUGAUUUAAAUUCUUUUUUUUUUUUUGAGUCAGAAGAUUUUAAUUAGGCCUUGAAAAGCUGCAUCUGACAUGGGACUUUUAUUAACACACCCCCAGGUUCACAGUCAAGGUUUAGUAAAACACAUCUUAAGAUAUGCCAGUGCCAUUGAUUUGUCUUAUGAUACACACCAGUAAUGUCUUCUUCAAAGGAGUGCUUUUUAAAGAUGCUUAAUAGGCUUGUCUGUGAAACCAGUCCACAGUGUUUAAUAUUGUGACAACUGCAUUAUCUUUGGAAAGUAAUAUAAUUUUAAAUUCUUGAGGUGUAUAUAAAUUAUUAAAAGGAUUAAUGCAAACAUAACAAAUUUGCAAAUAAAGUAAAGGGGUUUAAGUACUUUCUAAAUACACUGUAAAUGUGGUCAUGCCUACUUUGAACUAAUUUGUCGUUUUUGUUGAUUUUGUUUUUCCUAGAUUGGACAUCUAAUUCAUCUUUAUUGGACAUCUAAUUCAUCUUUCAGCUUGCCUCUUAAAAACUGCCAGAAAACCCAAAAAAACACACAUUCAACUAAAAAAAAAGCCUAUAAUUUCUACCCAAAAAAAACGACCCAUUUUUUUACCCCACCCAGCCAAUCUGUUGCCCUAACCCCAAAACACUGACUUUCCCCAAAACAGAACGUCCCUUUAACUUUUUGCUUUGACAGAAAGAGUAAGAGCAGAACUACCUACAGCUCCAGUGUGCCCUGCUGCCUUGAGUGUCUUCACAAAGCAACGUUGAUUAGAGGACUGCGUUGGGAAAUCAACACCAUCAACACACACAAUAAUUUACUAUAGUUUUAAAAUUACAUAAUUCCUGUAGUCUUUUGGACUGCUUAUAAUAGAUAAUACACAUUACAGUACUUUUAAAAGUCAUUAAUAUAUCAGUAAAAAAAAAAUUGUUUUUGCAAGUUCAUCUUUGAAACGUAUUACAUUUAUAUCUGAGUCUUAUCACAUUUGCCUAUACUCUACUAAUUAAUUGCAUUAGUAAUAUUGCCUUUGGUUAUCAUUUCUGUAAAAUAUUGGGGUUAACAGUUCAACAGUUCCAAUGCUAUAGUCUUGUGUGUUUGUAUAUCUAAUUUCUUGACUGUUUUAACGGUGAAAUUUUAGUACAGUACUUUAAUAUAUCAGUAAAAUAUUCUAAGUUUGACUGUUAUUGUAACUGCUAUUUGAAUAGACUACGUUUAAAGGUCAUUAAAAUAUUUUGGUUUGCCAAGUUCCUCUUUGAAUCUUACCACAUUGUAACAUUUACCUUUAUUAAUUGAUUGCAUUACUGAUAUUGCUUUUGGUUAACAUUUUUGUACAAUAUAGGGGUUGACGGUGUUUGACAGUAUAACAGUUCAAUUGCUAUAGUUUUGUGUGUUCGUAUAUUUAAUUUGUUGACUUGUUACUGAAAUUUCAGUCCUGUACUUUAAAAGCUAAUUAAUAUAUCAGUAAUAUAUUUAAAGUUUGACUCUUGUUGUAAUUGAUAUUUGAGUGCAGUACAUUUAAAGGUAAUUAAAAUAUC